GCAUUGUGGUUCAGUGGUAGAAUGAUCGCCUGCCACGCAGGCGGCCCGGGUUCGAUUCCCGGCCGAUGCA
This 70-nucleotide transfer RNA is filed under the name Cordylochernes scorpioides. RNAcentral describes it as "tRNA-Gly". It matches the Rfam family "tRNA". From Rfam's summary of the family: Transfer RNA (tRNA) molecules are approximately 80 nucleotides in length. Their secondary structure includes four short double-helical elements and three loops (D, anti-codon, and T loops). Lineage: Eukaryota; Metazoa; Arthropoda; Arachnida; Pseudoscorpiones; Chernetidae. The record is from RNAcentral.